UGGGGAAUAUUGCACAAUGGGCGCAAGCCUGAUGCAGCCAUGCCGCGUGUGUGAAGAAGGCCUUCGGGUUGUAAAGCACUCUCAGCGGGGAGGAAGGCGGUGAGGUUAAUAACCUCACCGAUUGACGUUACCCGCAGAAGAAGCACCGGCUAACUCCGUGCCAGCAGCCGCGGUAAUACGGAGGGUGCAAGCGUUAAUCGGAAUUACUGGGCGUAAAGCGCACGCAGGCGGUCUGUCAAGUCAGAUGUGAAAUCCCCGGGCUCAACCUGGGAACUGCAUCUGAUACUGGCAAGCUUGAGUCUCGAGGAGGGGGGUAGAAUUCCAGGUGUGGCGGUGAAGUGCGUAGAGAUCUGGAGGAAUACCGGUGGCGAAGGCGGCCCCCUGGACGAAGACUGACGCUCAGGUGCGAAAGCGUGGGGAGCAAACAGG
Molecule: ribosomal RNA, 429 nt
Filed under: Chloroflexota bacterium
Lineage: Bacteria; Bacillati; Chloroflexota
Description: Chloroflexi bacterium partial 16S ribosomal RNA
Rfam family: Bacterial small subunit ribosomal RNA
Source: RNAcentral